Molecule: ribosomal RNA, 547 nt
Filed under: uncultured Glomeromycotina
Lineage: Eukaryota; Fungi; Glomeromycota
Description: SSU rRNA
Rfam family: Eukaryotic small subunit ribosomal RNA
Source: RNAcentral
UUGGAGGGCAAGUCUGGUGCCAGCAGCCGCGGUAAUUCCAGCUCCAAUAGCGUAUAUUAAAGUUGUUGCAGUUAAAAGGCUCGUAGUUGAAUUUCGGGGUUAGUAGGUUGGUCAUGCCACUGGUAUGUACUGGUCUCACUGAUUCCUCCUUCCUGAUGAGCCGUAAUGCCAUUAAUUUGGUGUUGCGAGGAAUCUGGACUGUUACUUUGAAAAAAUUAGAGUGUUUAAAGCAAGCUAACGCUUGAAUACAUUAGCAUGGAAUAAUGAAAUAGGACGUUCGAUCCUAUUUUGUUGGUUUCUAGGAUUGACGUAAUGAUUAAUAGGGAUAGUUGGGGGCAUUAGUAUCCAAUUGUCAGAGGUGAAAUUCUUGGAUUUAUUGAAGACUAACUACUGCGAAAGCAUUUGCCAAGGAUGUUUUCAUUAAUCAAGAACGAAAGUUAGGGGAUCGAAGACGAUCAGAUACCGUCGUAGUCUUAACCAUAAACUAUGCCGACUAGGGAUCGGAUGAUGUUAUUUUUAAUGACUCAUUCGGCGCCUUACGGGAAAC